GCAGUCAUGGGGUAGUGGUAACCUGGGUCGUUGCCAUCGACCCGCCCCGAGUUCGAUUCUCGGUGGCUGCA
This 71-nucleotide transfer RNA is filed under the name Fomitopsis schrenkii. RNAcentral's name for it is "tRNA-Gly (GCC) (tRNA-Gly-GCC-2-1)". It matches the Rfam family "tRNA". From Rfam's summary of the family: Transfer RNA (tRNA) molecules are approximately 80 nucleotides in length. The record is from RNAcentral. Lineage: Eukaryota; Fungi; Basidiomycota; Agaricomycetes; Polyporales; Fomitopsidaceae.